GAGCGAACGGGGAGCAGCCCAGAGCCUGAAUCAGUGUGUGUGUUAGUGGAAGCGUCUGGAAAGGCGCGCGAUACAGGGUGACAGCCCCGUACACAAAAAUGCACAUGCUGUGAGCUCGAUGAGUAGGGCGGGACACGUGGUAUCCUGUCUGAAUAUGGGGGGACCAUCCUCCAAGGCUAAAUACUCCUGACUGACCGAUAGUGAACCAGUACCGUGAGGGAAAGGCGAAAAGAACCCCGGCGAGGGGAGUGAAAAAGAACCUGAAACCGUGUACGUACAAGCAGUGGGAGCACGCUUAGGCGUGUGACUGCGUACCUUUUGUAUAAUGGGUCAGCGACUUAUAUUCUGUAGCAAGGUUAACCGAAUAGGGGAGCCGAAGGGAAACCGAGUCUUAACUGGGCGUUAAGUUGCAGGGUAUAGACCCGAAACCCGGUGAUCUAGCCAUGGGCAGGUUGAAGGUUGGGUAACACUAACUGGAGGACCGAACCGACUAAUGUUGAAAAAUUAGCGGAUGACUUGUGGCUGGGGGUGAAAGGCCAAUCAAACCGGGAGAUAGCUGGUUCUCCCCGAAAGCUAUUUAGGUAGCGCCUCGUGAAUUCAUCUCCGGGGGUAGAGCACUGUUUCGGCAAGGGGGUCAUCCCGACUUACCAACCCGAUGCAAACUGCGAAUACCGGAGAAUGUUAUCACGGGAGACACACGGCGGGUGCUAACGUCCGUCGUGAAGAGGGAAACAACCCAGACCGCCAGCUAAGGUCCCAAAGUCAUGGUUAAGUGGGAAACGAUGUGGGAAGGCCCAGACAGCCAGGAUGUUGGCUUAGAAGCAGCCAUCAUUUAAAGAAAGCGUAAUAGCUCACUGGUCGAGUCGGCCUGCGCGGAAGAUGUAACGGGGCUAAACCAUGCACCGAAGCUGCGGCAGCGACGCUUAUGCGUUGUUGGGUAGGGGAGCGUUCUGUAAGCCUGCGAAGGUGUGCUGUGAGGCAUGCUGGAGGUAUCAGAAGUGCGAAUGCUGACAUAAGUAACGAUAAAGCGGGUGAAAAGCCCGCUCGCCGGAAGACCAAGGGUUCCUGUCCAACGUUAAUCGGGGCAGGGUGAGUCGACCCCUAAGGCGAGGCCGAAAGGCGUAGUCGAUGGGAAACAGGUUAAUAUUCCUGUACUUGGUGUUACUGCGAAGGGGGGACGGAGAAGGCUAUGUUGGCCGGGCGACGGUUGUCCCGGUUUAAGCGUGUAGGCUGGUUUUCCAGGCAAAUCCGGAAAAUCAAGGCUGAGGCGUGAUGACGAGGCACUACGGUGCUGAAGCAACAAAUGCCCUGCUUCCAGGAAAAGCCUCUAAGCAUCAGGUAACAUCAAAUCGUACCCCAAACCGACACAGGUGGUCAGGUAGAGAAUACCAAGGCGCUUGAGAGAACUCGGGUGAAGGAACUAGGCAAAAUGGUGCCGUAACUUCGGGAGAAGGCACGCUGAUAUGUAGGUGAGGUCCCUCGCGGAUGGAGCUGAAAUCAGUCGAAGAUACCAGCUGGCUGCAACUGUUUAUUAAAAACACAGCACUGUGCAAACACGAAAGUGGACGUAUACGGUGUGACGCCUGCCCGGUGCCGGAAGGUUAAUUGAUGGGGUCAGCGCAAGCGAAGCUCUUGAUCGAAGCCCCGGUAAACGGCGGCCGUAACUAUAACGGUCCUAAGGUAGCGAAAUUCCUUGUCGGGUAAGUUCCGACCUGCACGAAUGGCGUAAUGAUGGCCAGGCUGUCUCCACCCGAGACUCAGUGAAAUUGAACUCGCUGUGAAGAUGCAGUGUACCCGCGGCAAGACGGAAAGACCCCGUGAACCUUUACUAUAGCUUGACACUGAACAUUGAGCCUUGAUGUGUAGGAUAGGUGGGAGGCUUUGAAGUGUGGACGCCAGUCUGCAUGGAGCCGACCUUGAAAUACCACCCUUUAAUGUUUGAUGUUCUAACGUUGACCCGUAAUCCGGGUUGCGGACAGUGUCUGGUGGGUAGUUUGACUGGGGCGGUCUCCUCCUAAAGAGUAACGGAGGAGCACGAAGGUUGGCUAAUCCUGGUCGGACAUCAGGAGGUUAGUGCAAUGGCAUAAGCCAGCUUGACUGCGAGCGUGACGGCGCGAGCAGGUGCGAAAGCAGGUCAUAGUGAUCCGGUGGUUCUGAAUGGAAGGGCCAUCGCUCAACGGAUAAAAGGUACUCCGGGGAUAACAGGCUGAUACCGCCCAAGAGUUCAUAUCGACGGCGGUGUUUGGCACCUCGAUGUCGGCUCAUCACAUCCUGGGGCUGAAGUAGGUCCCAAGGGUAUGGCUGUUCGCCAUUUAAAGUGGUACGCGAGCUGGGUUUAGAACGUCGUGAGACAGUUCGGUCCCUAUCUGCCGUGGGCGCUGGAGAACUGAGGGGGGCUGCUCCUAGUACGAGAGGACCGGAGUGGACGCAUCACUGGUGUUCGGGUUGUCAUGCCAAUGGCACUGCCCGGUAGCUAAAUGCGGAAGAGAUAAGUGCUGAAAGCAUCUAAGCACGAAACUUGCCCCGAGAUGAGUUCUCCCUGACCCUUUAAGGGUCCUGAAGGAACGUUGAAGACGACGACGUUGAUAGGCCGGGUGUGUAAGCGCAGCGAUGCGUUGAGCUAACCGGUACUAAUGAACCGUGAGGCUUAACCUUACAACGCCGAAGGUGUUU
Molecule: ribosomal RNA, 2673 nt
Filed under: Escherichia coli
Lineage: Bacteria; Pseudomonadati; Pseudomonadota; Gammaproteobacteria; Enterobacterales; Enterobacteriaceae
Description: bacterial LSU rRNA
Rfam family: Bacterial large subunit ribosomal RNA
Source: RNAcentral